CUAGGGAGUCUGCGCGGGCGCGGGGCGCAGGAGCUGCUCCAGUGACGGGCUGCUGACUCUCAGUCUUCUCUGACUCUAAAUGUGGAGUCCUUUAUAAAUAACUUUUGUGAUUAAAAAGGACAGGUCGGUGAGGGAUGAAAUGUGAUUCGAGGGUGACACGAAGGAAUUGUUUUCCGUGAGACAGAGGGACACGUGCAGCUGGGGCGAAGGGAGUGUCCAUAAUUCCCCAGCUGCUGGGGCUGCGGAGCAAAACGGGACUUCCACUGUCAGGAACUAGAAACCAGGCGAAUCAAACCGGGGGAACUGAGGCUCUGUGAUGCCGGGUGCAGAACAAACAAGAAGCAAGGCUGAGAGCUACGGUCUUCAGUGGUCUUUCAACAACCAAAGUGGCUCUACCAAGGGCGUUGUGCUAAACGGCUGCCUCUGUGGAGGCCACAGCCCACGUCUCAGCUGACCGCCCCUCGGCCAGUCAUCAGCGUGAAGCGCAGAGGAGCUCCCAGAGGAGUCAGCGUGUCGGUUGUUCAGAGAAGCCUCUUAUUCAGCCAAAUCCAGAAGGGAGCGGCACAGAGACAAAAGGUGCUUUCGUGGCCCUCUCAUUUGCAUUCUGCCACUAAAUGCUUAAAUACAAAUGUUUUUUAAAAAACC
Molecule: long non-coding RNA, 645 nt
Filed under: Equus caballus (horse)
Lineage: Eukaryota; Metazoa; Chordata; Mammalia; Perissodactyla; Equidae
Description: lncRNA (ENSECAG00000044226.1)
Source: RNAcentral